Molecule: long non-coding RNA, 308 nt
Organism: Pyrgilauda ruficollis (rufous-necked snowfinch)
Lineage: Eukaryota; Metazoa; Chordata; Aves; Passeriformes; Passeridae
Exons: 3
Source: RefSeq, a predicted model, not a curated record
UAGAAAAAGGAAGUAAGGACCUCUUUGGUGCUGUGGUCCCUUCAGCUCCACGGGUUCAUUCCCUGCACACCAGCUCUGGAUGUAGAGGUGUCUGUGCUCUGCUUCAGGACAGCACGAGGAGGAAAAUUAAGCUGUGAACUGGAAUUCCAUCAGGCUGUCUACUGUAAAGCCCCGUGGCUUUAGAAAAGGGGCAGUAGUGGUCAGAAAUGACACUCAAAAGUCUGAUUUUGCCAGGCCAGAGAAGUUCGGGAUGGGAGGGAAGGGGACGCCGAGCUCCCACUGAAGUUGCAGAGUAUGGUCUUACUCAG